GGGCGAUUAGCUCAGUUGGUUAGAGCGCCACCUUUACACGGUGGAUGUCGGGGGUUCGAGUCCCUCAUCGCCCACCU
Molecule: transfer RNA, 77 nt
Filed under: Bifidobacterium pseudocatenulatum
Lineage: Bacteria; Bacillati; Actinomycetota; Actinomycetes; Bifidobacteriales; Bifidobacteriaceae
Also listed under: 6 other names
Description: tRNA-Val
Rfam family: tRNA
About the family: Transfer RNA (tRNA) molecules are approximately 80 nucleotides in length. Their secondary structure includes four short double-helical elements and three loops (D, anti-codon, and T loops).
Source: RNAcentral